GACGAACGCUGGCGGCGUGCCUAAUACAUGCAAGUAGAACGCACAGUUUAUACCGUAGCUUGCUACACCAUAGACUGUGAGUUGCGAACGGGUGAGUAACGCGUAGGUAACCUGCCUGGUAGCGGGGGAUAACUAUUGGAAACGAUAGCUAAUACCGCAUAAUAUUAAUUAUUGCAUGAUAAUUAAUUGAAAGGUGCAAUUGCACCACUACCAGAUGGACCUGCGUUGUAUUAGCUAGUAGGUGAGGUAACGGCUCACCUAGGCGACGAUACAUAGCCGACCUGGGAGGGGGAUCGGCCACACUUGGACUGGGACACGGCCCAGACUCCUUCGGGGGGCAGCAGUAGGGAAUCUUCGGCAAUGGACGAAAGUCUGACCGAGCAACGCCGCGUGAGUGAAGAAGGUUUUCGGAUCGUAAAGCUCUGUUUUAAGAGAAGAACGGGUGGGAGAGUGGAAAGUUCACACUGUGACGGUAUCUUACCAGAAAGGGACGGCUAACUACGUG
Molecule: ribosomal RNA, 505 nt
Filed under: uncultured bacterium
Lineage: Bacteria
Description: partial 16S ribosomal RNA
Rfam family: Bacterial small subunit ribosomal RNA
Source: RNAcentral